Molecule: ribosomal RNA, 509 nt
Filed under: uncultured bacterium
Lineage: Bacteria
Description: bacterial SSU rRNA
Rfam family: Bacterial small subunit ribosomal RNA
Source: RNAcentral
CGUACGAUACGAGUUUGAUCCUGUCUCAGGACGACGCUGGCGGCGUGCUUAACACAUGCAAGUCGAACGUGAAGCCUUUCUUCGGAGAGGUGGAAAGUGGCGAACGGGUGAGUAACGCGUAGACAACCUGCCCUUCGAUGGGGGAUAGCCCCGGGAAACUGGGAUUAAUACCGCAUGACGCACCGGGACCGCAUGGUCCUGGUGUUAAAGAUUUAUCGUCGGGGGAUGGGUCUGCGUGACAUUAGGUAGUUGGUGGGGUAACGGCCCACCAAGCCGACGAUGUCUAGCUGGUUUGAGAGGAUGAUCAGCCACACUGGGACUGAGAUACGGCCCAGACUCCUACGGGAGGCAGCAGUGAGGAAUAUUGGACAAUGGGGGAAACCCUGAUCCAGCAACGCCGCGUGAACGAUGACGCUGUUACGCAGUGUAAAGUUCUGUAAGGAGGGAAGAACCACCGGGUAUUGCCCGGUCUGACGGUACCUCCUAAGUAAGCACCGGCUAACUCCGUG